UACGAAGGGGGCUAGCGUUGCUCGGAAUCACUGGGCGUAAAGCGCACGUAGGCGGAUUGCUAAGUCAGGGGUGAAAUCCUGGAGCUCAACUCCAGAACUGCCUUUGAUACUGGCGACCUUGAGUCCGGGAGAGGUAAGUGGAACUGCGAGUGUAGAGGUGAAAUUCGUAGAUAUUCGCAAGAACACCAGUGGCGAAGGCGGCUCACUGGCCCGGUACUGACGCUGAGGUGCGAAAGCGUGGGGAGCAAACAGG
This 253-nucleotide ribosomal RNA is filed under the name uncultured bacterium. RNAcentral's name for it is "partial 16S ribosomal RNA". It matches the Rfam family "Bacterial small subunit ribosomal RNA", at positions 524 to 776 of the family's 1533-position model. The record is from RNAcentral.